This 531-nucleotide ribosomal RNA is filed under the name uncultured bacterium. RNAcentral's name for it is "bacterial SSU rRNA". It matches the Rfam family "Bacterial small subunit ribosomal RNA", at positions 314 to 842 of the family's 1533-position model. The record is from RNAcentral.
UGGUACUGAGACACGGACCAGACUCCUACGGGAGGCAGCAGUGAGGAAUAUUGGUCAAUGGGAGAGAUCCUGAACCAGCCAAGCCGCGUGAGGGAAGACGGCCCUAUGGGUUGUAAACCUCUUUUGUCGGAGAACAAAACCCGGGACGAGUCCCGGACUGCGUGUAUCCGAAGAAAAAGCAUCGGCUAACUCCGUGCCAGCAGCCGCGGUAAUACGGAGGAUGCGAGCGUUAUCCGGAUUUAUUGGGUUUAAAGGGUGCGUAGGCGGUCUGUUAAGUCAGCGGUAAAAUUGCGGGGCUCAACCCCGUCGAGCCGUUGAAACUGGCAGACUUGAGUUGGCGAGAAGUACGCGGAAUGCGCGGUGUAGCGGUGAAAUGCAUAGAUAUCGCGCAGAACUCCGAUUGCGAAGGCAGCGUACCGGCGCCAGACUGACGCUGAGGCACGAAAGCGUGGGGAUCGAACAGGAUUAGAUACCCUGGUAGUCCACGCAGUAAACGAUGAAUGCUGGUUGUCCGGGUCGAAUGAGACCUGG